AUUUUUCUAAUUUUCUGGAAUUUUCAGAUGAAAAAUAUCAAAAAUUAGAACUACCUUUUUUAGUUUCGGGUAUAUUAUAAGCAAGUUUCAGAAUCUGAUUUUGUUUCAGAUUAUUUAUGGAAUAUAAUAUCUUGAAAGUUUCUGGAAUUUUCGGAUGAAAAAUAUCAAAAAUUAGAACUACCUUUUUUAGUUUCGGAUAUAUUAGAAGCAAGUUUCAGA
RNAcentral lists this long non-coding RNA (219 nucleotides) under Daucus carota (carrot). RNAcentral's name for it is "long non-coding RNA (DCAR_LNC003286)". The record is from RNAcentral. Lineage: Eukaryota; Viridiplantae; Streptophyta; Magnoliopsida; Apiales; Apiaceae.